This 301-nucleotide unclassified non-coding RNA is filed under the name uncultured fungus. RNAcentral describes it as "partial contains small subunit ribosomal RNA, internal transcribed spacer 1, and 5.8S ribosomal RNA". The stretch from base 1 to 73 matches the Rfam family "Eukaryotic small subunit ribosomal RNA", at positions 1759 to 1831 of the family's 1831-position model. The record is from RNAcentral. Lineage: Eukaryota; Fungi.
UCAAACUUGGUCAUUUAGAGGAAGUAAAAGUCGUAACAAGGUAACCGUAGGUGAACCUGCGGUUGGAUCAUUAAAAAUUUAAUUUAGUCUCUGGAUAUAUUUAUUUAAUUAUAUAUAUCCAUGAUGGCUAUUUAACACCUGUGCACUUUGAAUGUAUCUUGGGUAUUGUAUGUAUUAAUAAUAUAAUACUUACCCAAAAUUGAUAAAACCCCUAUUGAUUAUGUCUGAAAAAUUUUAUAUUAAAUUAUAAACAACUUUUGACAACGGAUCUCUAGGCUCUCGCAUCGAUGAAGAACGCAGC